Molecule: long non-coding RNA, 350 nt
Filed under: Amborella trichopoda
Lineage: Eukaryota; Viridiplantae; Streptophyta; Magnoliopsida; Amborellales; Amborellaceae
Description: long non-coding RNA (ATRI_LNC004952)
Source: RNAcentral
GGUUUUCCAACUUUGGUACACUUUUUUGGAGAAUUUUUGCGCAAUAUAUUUUUGUACGAUAAAGCAUUGCUUUAUGAUGUUGCACAGUCACCUUAUUACAUGGUUGUCUCUAAACAUGUACUUCUCACUUAUUUUAUUUUUUAAUAAAAAACGGAUAGGGAAUUUACCAAAAAAAAAAAACAUUACAACCUUAUAUAAACAUUUUUUUUCAAUAGAAAAAGUGGUUUGGAAAUUUAUGAGGAAUUUUUAAGUAGAUUUUACAAGAUAGAGAGUUUGAAUAAGUUGCCAACUAAAAAUUAACGUGCCACCCUCUCCUUACAAGAUAACAUGCCUUCAUGAAACCUUCGUCC